UAGUCAUAUGCUUGUCCUAAAGAUUAAGCCAUGCAUGUGCAAGUAUAAGCCCUUGAACGGUGAAACUGCGAACGGCUCAUUAGACCAGUGACAAUUCGGUUGACGGACACUUGCCAGAGGAUAACUGUGGUAAUUCUAGAGCUAAUACAUGCGGGAGCAUUUGUUAGCAGCUGGAGGUGGGCGGGGAGAGCAGGCGCUUCCCGUGCACAGCGGCGAGUCAUGACAACUGGCGGAUCGCAGAAUGCGACGCGUCAAGCAAGUCUCUGCCCUAUCAACUUUGAUGGCAGGAUAGGGGCCUGCCAUGGUUGCGACGGGUGACGGGGAAUUGGGGUUCGAUUCCGGAGAGGGAGCCUGAGAGACGGCUACCACUUCCAAGGAAGGCAGCAGGCGCGCAAAUUACCCAAUCCCGAGACGGGGAGGUAGUGACAGUACAUAGCGAUGCGGGGCCGUAAGGCGUUGCAAUUGGAAUGAGCGAGAGAUAAAGAGAGCAGCGAGUAGCGAUU
Molecule: ribosomal RNA, 503 nt
Filed under: uncultured eukaryote
Lineage: Eukaryota
Description: bacterial SSU rRNA
Rfam family: Eukaryotic small subunit ribosomal RNA
Source: RNAcentral